GUUUCAGGGAAGGUGAAAAUCCUUACUGGCGGUAGCAAGAUAAUCUUGAAGCCCGCGAGCGGAGUAAAAUCUGCAGAUUCGGUCAAAUUCCGAAGCCAACGGUCAAAGUCCGGAUGGAAGAAA
Molecule: non-coding RNA, 123 nt
Filed under: uncultured Bifidobacterium sp.
Lineage: Bacteria; Bacillati; Actinomycetota; Actinomycetes; Bifidobacteriales; Bifidobacteriaceae
Description: FMN riboswitch (RFN element)
Rfam family: FMN riboswitch aptamer (RFN element)
About the family: The RFN element is a highly conserved domain that is found frequently in the 5'-untranslated regions of prokaryotic mRNAs that encode for flavin mononucleotide (FMN) biosynthesis and transport proteins. This element is a metabolite-dependent riboswitch that directly binds FMN in the absence of proteins.
Source: RNAcentral